RNAcentral lists this small nuclear RNA (106 nucleotides) under Peromyscus maniculatus bairdii (prairie deer mouse). Lineage: Eukaryota; Metazoa; Chordata; Mammalia; Rodentia; Cricetidae. The record is from RNAcentral.
GUGUUUGCUUUAGCAGCACAUAUACUAAAAAUUGGAAUAAUAUAUAUGAUUAGCAUUACUCCCACACAAGGAUGACAUGUAAAUUCAUGAAGUGUUAAAAAAAAAA